RNAcentral lists this non-coding RNA (785 nucleotides) under Ochthebius minoicus. Lineage: Eukaryota; Metazoa; Arthropoda; Insecta; Coleoptera; Hydraenidae. The record is from RNAcentral.
UAAAAGUUUUAUUUUAGCUUAAAAUAUUAAUUUAUAAUUUUUUUUACAUGUAAAUUUUAGUGUAUAAAAUUUUAUGUUUUAAAAAUUUAAAAUUUAUAAAUUAUUCGCAGUUUAUUAUUUUUAAUAAUUUAAGAAAUUAAGAUUAAGAAAUUUAUUUUAAUAUUAACAAAAUUUGUGCCAGCAGUUGCGGUUAUACAAAUAAUAUAAUUAAUAUUUAUUAAUUAAUAAUUAAUUGAUUUAUUUUUAAAUAAAAGUUAAAUUUAUUAAGUGAAAUUUUAAAUUUUAUUUAGUUUAUAAAUAAUAUUUUGAAGUUAUUAAAUUUUUUUUUAAACUAGGAUUAGAUACCCUAUUAUUUUAAAUGUAAAAUUUUUUAUUAAAUUAGUAUUAGUUAUUUUCUUGAAAUUUAAAAAUUUUGGCGGUAUUUUAGUCUAUUCAGAGGAACCUGUUCUAUAAUUGAUAGUCCACGAUUUAUUUUACUUAUUUUUAUUAGUUUAUAUAUCAUCGUAAUUUGAAUAUUUUAUAAGAAUUUAAAUAUUCAAAAUUUUUUAUUAUAAAAAAAAUCAGAUCAAGGUAUAGCUUAUAAAUAAGAAGAAAUGGGUUACAAUAAAUUAAUUUAAUAUGGAUAAAAAAUUUAAAUGUUUUUUUGAAGGAGGAUUUGAAAGUAAUAUAAUUUAAUUUAAUUAUAUGAUUUUAGCUCUAAAAUAUGUACAUAUCGCCCGUCGCUUUCAUAUAAAAUGAAAUAAGUCGUAACAAAGUAGAUGUACUGGAAAGUGUAUCUAGAAUGA